Molecule: ribosomal RNA, 326 nt
Filed under: uncultured eukaryote
Lineage: Eukaryota
Description: partial 18S ribosomal RNA
Rfam family: Eukaryotic small subunit ribosomal RNA
Source: RNAcentral
CCCUUAGAUGUUCUGGGAUGCACGCGCGUUACACUGAUUCGUUCAACGAGUUUAUGACCUUGCCUGAUGAGGUGGGGGAAUCUUUUCAAAUCGCAUCGUGAUGGGGAUAGAGUAUUGUAACUGUUAGUCUUCAACGAGGAAUUCCUAGUAAGUACGUGUCAUCAGCUCGUACUGAUUAUGUCCCUGCCCUUUGUACACACCGCCCGUCGCUCCUACCGAUUGAGUGCUCAGGUGAAUAGUAUGGACUGCAUCAGUGUUCGGUCUCCGAAUGUUGACGCGAGAAAUUCUGUGGAUCUUAUUGCUUAGAGGAAGGAGAAGUCGUAACA